CCCUCGCCGCAAGACUAAGGUUUCCUGAUCAACGCUAAUCGGAUCAGGGUUAGUCGGGUCCUAAGGCUCAGCCGAACGGUGAGGCCGAUGGCAGAACAGGUUAAUAUUCCUGUACUACCUAUAGGAGUGAUGUGGAGACGGAGGAGUGACAACGCCGCGGACUGACGGAAUAGUCCGUUAAAGGGUGUAGAUGUUGAUUAUCCCAGGCAAAUCCGGGAUAAGAGUCGAACCUGACAGUAUACCAAUUUCCCCGGAAAACGGUAAUAGUGCGUGUAAACAUACUCCCAAGAAAAUCCGCUAAACUUAAUCUUAUAGGUACCCGUACCGUAAACGGACACACGUAGUCGGGUUGAAUAUACUCAGGCGCUUGAGUGAAUCACGGUUAAGGAACUAGGCAAAUUGACCCUGUAACUUCGGGAUAAAGGGUCCCUACCCGGUGACGGGAGGGCGCAGAGAAUAGGUCCAGGCAACUGUUUAACAAAAACACAGGGCUGUGCAAAAUUGAAAGAUCACGUAUACAGCCUGACACCUGCCCGGUGCUGGAAGGUUAAGAGGAGAUGUCAUCGCAAGAGAAGCAUUGAAUUGAAGCCCCAGUAAACGGCGGCCGUAACUAUAACGGUCCUAAGGUAGCGAAAUUCCUUGUCGGGUAAGUUCCGACCUGCACGAAUGGUGUAAUGAUCUGGACACUGUCUCAACCGUGAGCUCAGUGAAAUUGUAGUAUCGGUGAAGAUGCCGAUUACCCGCGAUGGGACGAAAAGACCCCGUGAACCUUUACUAUAGCUUAACAUUGAAUUUGGGUAAUUGAUGUGUAGGAUAGGCCGGAGACUUUGAAGCAGGCACGCCAGUGUUUGUGGAGUCGCUGUUGAAAUACGGCCCUUUGGUUAUUUGAGUUCUAACUCGCUGAUGCGAGGACACUGUUUGGUGGGUAGUUUGACUGGGGUGGUCGCCUCCAAAAGCGUAACGGAGGCUUCUAAAGGUGCCCUCACGCCGAUUGGUAACCGGCGGUAGAGUGUAAUGGCAUAAGGGCGCUUGACUGGGAGACUUACAAGUCGAUCAGGUAGGAAACUAGAGCAUAGUGAUCCGGUGUUUCCGUAUGGAAGGGACAUCGCUCAAAGGAUAAAAGGUACUCCGGGGAUAACAGGCUGAUCCCUCCCAAGAGC
This 1160-nucleotide ribosomal RNA is filed under the name human gut metagenome. Its description in RNAcentral is "bacterial LSU rRNA". It matches the Rfam family "Bacterial large subunit ribosomal RNA", at positions 1331 to 2499 of the family's 2925-position model. The record is from RNAcentral.